AAUUUCUCAAGCUUGGAUGGCCUUUAUGUCUGUCCUUAGCCUUGGUUGUUGGGCUUUGCCGUGUCCUUCAUUGGGACGGCUGGCCUUAAAUGCAUUAGCUGAUCCUUGUGUGGCACUGGUUCUACUCAGCGUGAUAAUAGUCUGAUCGCUGAGGACAUCUUUCGGGAUGGCCAGUCCUCAUUUGGGUUGCUUCUAACCUUGGUGUUGCAAGUUAUUUCAAUCUGUAAUGCCACUUUUCAG
This 240-nucleotide unclassified non-coding RNA is filed under the name uncultured Clavulina. Its description in RNAcentral is "sequence contains ITS2". The record is from RNAcentral. Lineage: Eukaryota; Fungi; Basidiomycota; Agaricomycetes; Cantharellales; Hydnaceae.